This is a non-coding RNA of Oncorhynchus mykiss (rainbow trout), 4504 nucleotides long. Lineage: Eukaryota; Metazoa; Chordata; Actinopteri; Salmoniformes; Salmonidae. The record is from RefSeq and is a predicted model, not a curated record.
UCCUGGCGUGUCCUCCUCUUCCUCUCUCCUGGCUUGUUCUCCUCUUCCUCUCUCCGGGCGUGUCCUCCUCUUCCUCUCUCCUGGCGUGUCCUCCCCAACCUACCACUAGAGAGAAAGAAAAUAAGCUUAAAGAAAAGAGAAACUGAGCAGUGACACCGGGUUGACACCAUGUUGACACCGGGUUGACACCAUGUUGACACCGGGUUGACACCAUGUUGACACCGGGUUGACACUGUGUUGACACCAUGUUGACACCGGGUUGACACCGGGUUGACACCAUGUUGACACCGGGUUGACACCAUGUUGACACCGGGUUGACACCGUGUUGACACCGGGUUGACACCAUGUUGACACCGGGUUGACACCGUGUUGACACCGUGUUGACACCAUGUUGACACCGGGUUGACACCGUGUUGACAUACGGCCACAAUUCGUCUUAAGUGCAUCUGCUUGCUGUGGUUACUGUGAACUGGCUGCGGCUUUCUGAAGCCGUCAAAGUGUUUUAUGGCCCCGUCUAUCUGUCUGUCUGUGCCGCCCUCCCUCCUACACUACAAGUCGCACCAAACCCCCCGACUGAGGGCGAUGACAAACUCUCUCGUCUAGUCUCUCUCUUUUUCUGUAUCACGCUUUCAUUCUCUCUCUCUCUCUCUCUCUCUCUCUCUCUCUCUCUCUCUCUCUCUCCCCUCUCUCUCUCUCUCUCUCUCUUUCUCUCUCUCUCUCUCUCUCCGUGGUAUAUAGAGACAGAGGGGCCCUUGUUGUUCUAACUUGUCUGGCUUGGCCUCAUUCUGGGAGUCCUGUCUGGCUUGGCCUCAGCCUGGGAGUCCUGUCUGGCUUGGCCUCAGCCUGAGAGUCCUGUCUGGCUUGGCCUCAGCCUGAGAGUCCUGUGCUUCUUAUUAUUUAUGAACUGAGACGUUGUGAGUGGCACUGUCACUAAAGGAAGGUACCUCCAUGAAAAUAAGUUUUACACCUUACAAAGUACUUUACUACCAACCCAUCCACACUAUACCACACCAAGACGAACGAGGAGGAAGACCAUCCACACUAUACCACACCAAGACGAACGAGGAGGAAGACCAUCCACACUAUACCACACCAAGACGAACGAGGAGGAAGACCAUCCACACUAUACCACACCAAGACGAACGAGGAGGAAGACCAUCCACACUAUACCACACCAAGACGAACGAGGAGGAAGACCAUCCACACUAUACCACACCAAGACGAACGAGGAGGAAGACCAUCCACACUAUACCACACCAAGACGAACGAGGAGGAAGACCAUCCACACUAUACCACACCAAGACGAACAAGGAGGAAGACCAUCCACACUAUACCACACCAAGACGAAGGAGGAGGAAGACCAUCCACACUAUACCACACCAAGACGAAGGAGGAGGAAGACCAUCCACACUAUAUCACACCAAGACGAAGGAGGAGGAAGACCAUCCACACUAUACCACACCAAGACGAACGAGGAGGAAGACCAUCCACACUAUACCACACCAAGACGAACGAGGAGGAAGACCAUCCACACUAUACCACACCAAGACGAACAAGGAGGAAGACCAUCCACACUAUACCACACCAAGACGAAGGAGGAGGAAGACCAUCCACACUAUACCAUACCAAGACGAAGGAAGAGGAAGACAAACGAUGAUGUACAUAGAAGAACUAAAAUAAACAAAACUAAAAAGGGAUUUUCUAAUCAUUUAAAAAAUAAUUAAGACACUUAAUGUACCAAUGAUUCCCGAGACAAUCGUGUACAGAGGAAGUCUUUUUAAUGUGUGCAACAUGGCAGUGACUGGACGAUCCCUUCCCAUAUAAUAAUCGUUUAAUGCUGUCGGUACAAAGGUGAUGAUGUUUUCAUUGAAGUCAAAAGGCUGAUCGAGCACAGCAACGAUGACGGUGACGAUGUGUUGACGUUGUUCUUGAACCAAUAAAACUAACAAACAAACGUGUAGAUGAAAAUGAGAUUUUGUGAUAUAACUUGUUUUUGUUCAAGACCAAAAGCAUGGAUGUCAAGUGUCAAUGAUCAUUGUGUUCAGUCAGUGAUGUUUCUUCCUCGUACUAUCUCUCUCUCUCUCUCUCUCUCUCUCUCUCUCUGUCUCUCUCUCUCUCUCUCUCUCUGUCUCUCUCUCUCUCUCUCUCUCUCUCUCUCUCUAUUUACACUCAGUAUAGUAUGAAAUAGUGUGAUUUCAGUCACAUUUCAACUCAACACAGCGGUUUCCCUCUGAAUCAAGGCCUGGGAUUCAAUCUGCAGCCGUGCGAUUGUUCGAAUUCGAUCUCACGAAUGAGGUAGCAUUGGCUUUAAAAAGCCGCAUUGUCUACAAGCGCGAUCAGAUUUAAUCCCGGUCCAACACCGUGUGGAUCCAUGUUUCAUUGGGGUAUUUUUAUUUUAUUUUUAUUUUUUUAAUGUUCACUUACUUGGAAAAGUUGUUCAGAACUUGUUGUGUGGGCAUUUCACUAGCUUGCAGCACAAACCAACCGUGUGUAUUUUAAAGCUAACGUAAUUGACACGAUAAUACCAUUGCAUCUUGGGAUAGAGAUGUCUGAUCUGGACUGAGUUGGUAGGUUUUUAUUUUAUUUUAAAUGUCACCCCUCGGUCAGUUCCCAGACGCCGAGCCAUAUAGAGUACCAUUUUAAUGAAUUUAGGAAAAGUUCAGCUUUCAGGAAUGAAAAAGAAAAAAAAACAAGCUUUUAAAUAGGUUUUAUUAUAUUUUCUACAAGCGCUAUAACGAAAACUAUUGUACAGCGUAAAUUUUUGUAUGAAGUAGUGUUUUUAUUUAGAAUUUUGAAAAAAUUAUUUUGUUCUUCUUGUGUCCCACCUUUUGAAUUUCUGUAGUUGAAAAUGAAUUUCAUAUGAUGCCCUUUUUUUCUGAUAGUGCUUGUUAUGAUAGGACUGUAUGAUAGGACUGUAUGAUAGGACUGUAUGAUAGGACUGUAUGAUAGGACUGUAUGAUAGGACUGUAUGGUAGGACUGUAUGAUAGGACUGUAUGGUAGGACUGUAUGAUAGGACUGUAUGGUAGGACUGUAUGAUAGGACUGUAUGAUAGGACUGUAUGAUAGCUGUACUGGGCUCUUGUUAUGAUAGGACUGUGGACUGAAGUGGUGGGAUAGAUAGGUGAUAACCGAACUGAGCUCUUGUUAUGAUAGGACUGAAGUGGUGGGAUAGAUAGGUGAUAACCGUACUGAGCUCUUGUUAUGAUAGGACUGUGGACUGAAGUGGUGGGAUAGAUAGGUGAUAACCGUACUGAGCUCUUGUUAUGAUAGGACUGUGGACUGAAGUGGUGGGAUAGAUAGGUGAUAACCGUACUGAGCUCUUGUUAUGAUAGGACUGUGGACUGAAGUGGUGGGAUAGAUAGGUGAUAACUGUACUAAGGUCUUGUUAUGAUAGGACUGUGGACUGAAGUGGUGGGGUAGAUAGGUGAUAACCGUACUGGGCUCUUGUUAUGAUAGGACUGAAGUGGUGGGAUAGAUACUGUAGGUGAUAACUGUACUGGGCUCUUGUUAUGAUAGGACUGAAGUGGUGGGAUAGAUAGGGGAUAACCGUACUGAGCUCUUGUUAUGAUAGGACUGUGGACUGAAGUGUGGGAUAGAUGGGUGAUAACUGUACCGAGGUCUUGUUAUGAUAGGACUGAAGUGGUGGGAUAGAUAGGGGAUAACUGAUAGGACUGUGGACUGAAGUGGUGGGAUAGAUAGGGGAUAACUGAUAGGACUGUGGACUGAAGUGGUGGGAUAGAUAGGGGAUAACUGAUAGGACUGUGGACUGAAGUGGUGGGAUAGAUAGGGGAUAACUGAUAGGACUGUGGACUGAAGUGGUGGGAUAGAUAGGUGAUAACUGAUAGGACUGUGGACUGAAGUGGUGGGAUAGAUAGGGGAUAACUGAUAGGACUGUGGACUGAAGUGGUGGGAUAGAUAGGGGAUAACUGAUAGGACUGUGGACUGAAGUGGUGGGAUAGAUAGGGGAUAACUGAUAGGACUGUGGACUGAAGUGGUGGGAUAGAUAGGUGAUAACUGAUAGGACUGUGGACUGAAGUGGUGGGAUAGAUAGGGGAUAACUGAUAGGACUGUGGACUGAAGUGGUGGGAUAGAUAGGGGAUAACUGAUAGGACUGUGGACUGAAGUGGUGGGAUAGAUAGGGGAUAACUGAUAGGACUGUGGACUGAAGUGGUGGGAUAGAUAGGGGAUAACUGUACCGAGGUCUUGUUAUGAUAGGACUGAAGUGGUGGGAUAGAUAAGGGAUAACUGAUAGGACUGUGGACUGAAGUGGUGGGAUAGAUGGGUGAUAACUGUACCGAGGUCUUGUUAUGAUAGGACUGAAGUGGUGGGAUAGAUAGGGGAUAACUGAUAGGACUGUGGACUGAAGUCGUGGGAUAGAUAGGUGAUAACUGAUAGGACUGUGGACUGAAGUGGUGGGAUAGAUAGGUGAUAACCGAACUGAGAGACACAAGAAGAAGAAAAAGCCACUACUUCCCUCGAAGACAAAGGGGUUAUUAAGAACAGA